GGUUAAGUGAACAAGGGCGCACGGUGGAUGCCUAGGUACCAGGAGCCGAUGAAGGACGGGACUAACUCCGAUAUGCUCCGGGGAGCUGUAAGUAAGCUUUGAUCCGGAGAUUUCCGAAUGGGGAAACCCGG
This 131-nucleotide ribosomal RNA is filed under the name uncultured bacterium. Its description in RNAcentral is "partial 23S ribosomal RNA". It matches the Rfam family "Bacterial large subunit ribosomal RNA", at positions 1 to 131 of the family's 2925-position model. The record is from RNAcentral.